AUUAAACUAGUUUAAUAAAAACGAUAGCUUGUCGAGUUGUAGAUACAAAAUUUUUUGUGUUUAAUG
RNAcentral lists this transfer RNA (66 nucleotides) under Doto coronata. Its description in RNAcentral is "tRNA-Asp". The record is from RNAcentral. Lineage: Eukaryota; Metazoa; Mollusca; Gastropoda; Nudibranchia; Dotidae.